This 407-nucleotide long non-coding RNA is filed under the name Rattus norvegicus (Norway rat). RNAcentral's name for it is "long non-coding RNA NONRATT014399". Lineage: Eukaryota; Metazoa; Chordata; Mammalia; Rodentia; Muridae. The record is from RNAcentral.
CUGACUAUCUCGCUGGCUGACGGAGAAGAUCCCACCGUGUGUUCUUGUUCUAGAAAUACACGGUGAGCAUGGACUUCGUGAGGAGGUUUGAGCGGCAGUGUGGAUCCCAGGCCAGCGUAAAGCGACUGCGAGCCCAUCCUGCCUACCACAGCUUCAGCAACAAGUGGAACUUGCCUGUCUACUUCCAGAUAAGGUUCAGAGAAGUGGCAGGAUCCUUAGAAGCAUCCCUCACAGAUGGGCUAGAAGACGCCCCAGCUGGAAGUCCGUAUUGCCUUCUGGCUUCUCACAGAACAUGGAUCAGUCUGAGCAAAUGCUGGUCCGAUGAGAUGUUCCUGCCUUUGUUGGCACAUCGUCUGUGGAGGCUCACGCUGCAGAUUCUGGCCCGAUUCUCUGUGUUUGUCAGUGAG